CUCCAUCAUAAGGUGCACAGAUGGGAGGUCCCCCUCCAAAUGCACCUUGUGCGAGGUGAUCAGAGAGCAUGGCUGCUCUGAUGACUAGGAACCUUCUGUUUUACAGCCAGAAGGUACUUAAGGCCAUUUUAGCCCUGUUUGCUCAAAUUGCUCUUUCUUCCUGCUUGUUUCCCUCCUGAAGACACUGCUGAGCAGCGCCUGUACCUCCUGCCUCUGACCAGUACGAACAGGCUGUCCUUGUGCCAUCACUGCGCCCCAGCCCACGCCCAUCCUUGCUCCAGGAGGAACUCUUGAGAGGACUUACUAGCAAAAUCGAGCAAAGUUGGCUGCUUCCAUAUCACUGUAAGGCAAACAUCAUGUACUUACCCCACAGCAAGCCGCAAGUCAGCAACACAAGCUCCUUCCUGGGCAGGAAGCAACAGUCUUACCUCAACUACUCACAUGAUGAUACAAGGCCUCGUCAGGAGGGAGGAUCACACAGCAGUUGGAAGUCACCAUCCAA
This 502-nucleotide long non-coding RNA is filed under the name Falco tinnunculus (common kestrel). Its description in RNAcentral is "lncRNA (ENSFTIG00000009317.1)". Lineage: Eukaryota; Metazoa; Chordata; Aves; Falconiformes; Falconidae. The record is from RNAcentral.